RNAcentral lists this ribosomal RNA (644 nucleotides) under uncultured bacterium. RNAcentral's name for it is "bacterial SSU rRNA". It matches the Rfam family "Bacterial small subunit ribosomal RNA", at positions 859 to 1503 of the family's 1533-position model. The record is from RNAcentral.
AUUAAGCACUCCCGCCUGGGGAAGUACGACCGCAAGGUUGAAACUCAAAGGAAUUGACGGGGGCCCGCACAAGCGGUGGAGCAUGUGGUUUAAUUCGAAGCAACGCGAAGAACCUUACCAGGUCUUGACAUCCUUUGACCACUCUAGAGAUAGAGCUUCCCCUUCGGGGGCAAAGUGACAGGUGGUGCAUGGUUGUCGUCAGCUCGUGUCGUGAGAUGUUGGGUUAAGUCCCGCAACGAGCGCAACCCUUAUUGUUAGUUGCCAUCAUUUAGUUGGGCACUCUAGCAAGACUGCCGGUGACAAACCGGAGGAAGGUGGGGAUGACGUCAAAUCAUCAUGCCCCUUAUGACCUGGGCUACACACGUGCUACAAUGGGAAGUACAACGAGUCGCAAAGUCGCGAGGCUAAGCUAAUCUCUUAAAGCUUCUCUCAGUUCGGAUUGUAGGCUGCAACUCGCCUACAUGAAGCCGGAAUCGCUAGUAAUCGCGGAUCAGCACGCCGCGGUGAAUACGUUCCCGGGCCUUGUACACACCGCCCGUCACACCACGAGAGUUUGUAACACCCGAAGUCGGUGAGGUAACCUUUGGAGCCAGCCGCCUAAGGUGGGAUAGAUGAUUGGGGUGAAGUCGUAACAAGGUAACCGU